AGCCUAUAGAGGGUGUAUUAUAGGUGUAGUCUGCCCAAUGAUAGAGUUGAAUGGCCGCAGUACUUUGACUGUGCUAAGGUAGCAUAAUAAAUUGACCUUUAAAUGGGGCCUAGGAUAAAAGGAAUAAUGGAAAAUUUCUGUCUUUUUUAGGAUAAAAAUAAUUUACUUAGUGGGUGAAAAUUCCCACAAUUUUACAUUAGACGAGAAGACCCUAAGAAUUAUUACUAAGCAGAACUUACUGUUGUUUAUGUUUUUGUUGGGGCAACAAUGUUGGAAUAUAAGUAACCAAUAAAACUUUAAUUAUAUAAAUCAAUUUUAAUUAAUAAAAAUUUAAUUACCUUAGGGAUAACAGCAUAAUUAAUAUUUUAGAUUGUGACCUCGAUGUUGGAUUAGGAAGUUUAAUUAUUAGCCGUAAUUAAAACUAGUUCUGUUCGAACUUUUUUUCCUU
Molecule: ribosomal RNA, 448 nt
Filed under: Aulacospira smaesarnensis
Lineage: Eukaryota; Metazoa; Mollusca; Gastropoda; Stylommatophora; Pupillidae
Description: partial 16S ribosomal RNA
Rfam family: Archaeal large subunit ribosomal RNA
Source: RNAcentral